UGAGUACGAGCUGCUACGGCAGCGAAGUGGGUGAUGUCAAGCUUCCAAGAAAAGCCCUAUACCCGUUAAGGCAUGAUGGCCUGUACCCGAAACCGACACAGGUGGGGUGGUAGAGAAUACCGAGGGGCGCGAGAUAACUCUCUCUAAGGAACUCGGCAAAAUGGCCCCGUAACUUCGGGAGAAGGGGUGCCACCGCAAGGUGGUCGCAGUGAAGAGGCCCAGGCGACUGUUUACCAAAAACACAGGUCUCCGCUAAGUCGCAAGACGAUGUAUGGAGGCUGACGCCUGCCCAGUGCCGGAAGGUUAAGGAAGCUGGUCAGCGUAAGCGAAGCUAGCGACUGAAGCCCCGGUGAACGGCGGCCGUAACAAUAACGGUCCUAAGGUAGCGAAAUUCCUUGUCGGGUAAGUUCCGACCCGCACGAAAGGCGUAACGAUCUGGGCGCUGUCUCGGAGAGAGGCUCGGCGAAAUAGAAUUGUCUGUGAAGAUGCGGACUACGUGCACCCGGACAGAAAGACCCUAUGAAGCUUUACUGUAGCUUGGUAUUGUGCUCGGGCUCGGAAUGCGCAGGAUAGGUGGGAGGCUAUGAACCAUUGCUUGUGGGUGAUGGUGAGCCACUGGUGAGAUACCACUCUUUCCGAGCUAGAGUUCUAACAGCCACCCGUUAUCCGGGGGCUGGACUGUAUCAGGUGGGCAGUUUGACUGGGGCGGUCGCCUCCUAAAAGGUAACGAGGCGCGCAAAGGUUUGCUCAGGCUGGUUGGAAAUCAGCCGACGAGUGUAAAAGCAGAAGCAAGCUUGACUGUGAGACCUACAAGUCGAACAGGGAGGAAACUCGGCUUUAGUGAUCCGACGGUUCUGCGUGGAAGGGCCGUCGCUCAACGGAUAAAAGUUACUCUAAGGAUAACAGGCUGAUCUCCCCCAAGAGUUCACAUCGACGGGGAGGUUUGGCACCUCGAUGUCGGCUCAUCGCAACCUGGGGCUGAAGUCGGUCCCAAGGGUUGGGCUGUUCGCCCAUUAAAGCGGUACGCGAGCUGGGUUCAGAACGUUGUGAGACAGUUCGGUCCAUAUCCGGUGCAUGCGCAGGAAUAUUGAGAGGAUUUCUCCCUAGUACGAGAGGACCGGGAGGAACGCACCUCUGGUGUACCAGUUAUCGUGCCAACGGUAAACGCUGGGUAGCCAUGUGCGGAGAGGAUAACCGCUGAAAGCAUCUAAGUGGGAAGCCCACCUCAAGAUGAGUAUUCCCAUGGGGUAACCCAGUAAGGUCACGGGAAGAACACCCGUUGAUAGGCUCUACGUGGAAGCGCAGUAAUGUGUGAAGCGGAGGAGUACUAAUAGACCGAGGGCUUGAC
Molecule: ribosomal RNA, 1348 nt
Filed under: metagenome
Description: bacterial LSU rRNA
Rfam family: Bacterial large subunit ribosomal RNA
Source: RNAcentral